This 1361-nucleotide ribosomal RNA is filed under the name uncultured bacterium. RNAcentral describes it as "bacterial SSU rRNA". It matches the Rfam family "Bacterial small subunit ribosomal RNA", at positions 28 to 1381 of the family's 1533-position model. The record is from RNAcentral.
AUUGAACGCUGGCGGCAGGCCUAACACAUGCAAGUCGAGCGGUAGCACAGAGAGCUUGCUCUCGGGUGACGAGCGGCGGACGGGUGAGUAAUGUCUGGGAAACUGCCUGAUGGAGGGGGAUAACUACUGGAAACGGUAGCUAAUACCGCAUAAUGUCGCAAGACCAAAGUGGGGGACCUUCGGGCCUCAUGCCAUCAGAUGUGCCCAGAUGGGAUUAGCUAGUAGGUGGGGUAACGGCUCACCUAGGCGACGAUCCCUAGCUGGUCUGAGAGGAUGACCAGCCACACUGGAACUGAGACACGGUCCAGACUCCUACGGGAGGCAGCAGUGGGGAAUAUUGCACAAUGGGCGCAAGCCUGAUGCAGCCAUGCCGCGUGUGUGAAGAAGGCCUUCGGGUUGUAAAGCACUUUCAGCGGGGAGGAAGGCGGUGAGGUUAAUAACCUCAUCGAUUGACGUUACCCGCAGAAGAAGCACCGGCUAACUCCGUGCCAGCAGCCGCGGUAAUACGGAGGGUGCAAGCGUUAAUCGGAAUUACUGGGCGUAAAGCGCACGCAGGCGGUCUGUCAAGUCGGAUGUGAAAUCCCCGGGCUCAACCUGGGAACUGCAUUCGAAACUGGCAGGCUAGAGUCUUGUAGAGGGGGGUAGAAUUCCAGGUGUAGCGGUGAAAUGCGUAGAGAUCUGGAGGAAUACCGGUGGCGAAGGCGGCCCCCUGGACAAAGACUGACGCUCAGGUGCGAAAGCGUGGGGAGCAAACAGGAUUAGAUACCCUGGUAGUCCACGCCGUAAACGAUGUCGAUUUGGAGGUUGUGCCCUUGAGGCGUGGCUUCCGGAGCUAACGCGUUAAAUCGACCGCCUGGGGAGUACGGCCGCAAGGUUAAAACUCAAAUGAAUUGACGGGGGCCCGCACAAGCGGUGGAGCAUGUGGUUUAAUUCGAUGCAACGCGAAGAACCUUACCUGGUCUUGACAUCCACAGAACUUUCCAGAGAUGGAUUGGUGCCUUCGGGAACUGUGAGACAGGUGCUGCAUGGCUGUCGUCAGCUCGUGUUGUGAAAUGUUGGGUUAAGUCCCGCAACGAGCGCAACCCUUAUCCUUUGUUGCCAGCGGUUAGGCCGGGAACUCAAAGGAGACUGCCAGUGAUAAACUGGAGGAAGGUGGGGAUGACGUCAAGUCAUCAUGGCCCUUACGACCAGGGCUACACACGUGCUACAAUGGCAUAUACAAAGAGAAGCGACCUCGCGAGAGCAAGCGGACCUCAUAAAGUAUGUCGUAGUCCGGAUUGGAGUCUGCAACUCGACUCCAUGAAGUCGGGAUCGCUAGUAAUCGUAGAUCAGAAUGCUACGGUGAAUACGUUCCCGGGCCU